Long non-coding RNA from Triplophysa rosa, 3045 nucleotides. RefSeq lists it as uncharacterized. NCBI's taxonomy places the organism in Eukaryota, Metazoa, Chordata, Actinopteri, Cypriniformes, Nemacheilidae. The record is from RefSeq and is a predicted model, not a curated record. The transcript has 3 exons.
CCGAACUUCACAUUACUGCUUCCCCGGAAGAGGAGUCACGGAUCGCCACUGAUAGAUACCUGUAUCUUUAGUCUUUUUUUUACUAAAACACAAACAUUUUGUAAAGAUGCUUUUGUAAGGUUACGCCCUUUAACGCCUUUUGUUUAUUAUCAAUAAUAAAAGUGAAAGCAAAGCUGCAAGAAGCACUUUAUAUAGUUUUUCUAGCAGUCAGAAAAGUAUUGCUUGAAAAUAACGAGAAUGGCCUUUGAAGUCCGUGUCUGGCUUACUAAAACUACAAUUAGAACAAUGUCAGUUGCAACAUCAUCUGAAGAAUUUCAGAGAACCACAACAAAGGACCUGAAGAAAAAAGCAUUACAAUUUAUCCCUGGAGUAAACGAUGUUAACAGUCUGGGGAUGGUUUUUGGAAUAUAUGAUCUCGAAGACGAUAAAACACUUGCAUUUUACAAGAUAAAACAUUUGUCUAUUGUUCAAAUCGUUUUGAGAAUGCCUGGUGGGGGAGGCCCACCAGAGGAUCAAGAUGAGGGAUUUCCUAGGAGUGAGUCUAUGGAAAGAUUACAUUUGAAAAUGUAGCUCUGUUAGAUUCACUUAGGGACAAGGAGGAGCACAAAUACACAGCUUCACACGGUUCAAACAUGUGUAAACGGACUGUCUGUUCACUGCAUUGAUGGUUUGGUUUGAACUGACCUGAUUUAUGAGCGAGUGACUCCCAGAGGAGGUGUGUUAGAAAUAGAAAGACAAAAUUCAUUCUAGGGAGGAAAAUACAACAUAUAGCUGUUAUUUGUCAGUGUGUCACAUACGUGGGUGUGAAAAAAAGGAAAAAAGUGAAAGUGACAUUAGUCAGGUAUAGUGACCCAUACCCGAAAUGUGACCUUUUAUGUGCGUUUAACCUAUACAGUGAGUAAUGAACACACGCACAGCAAGUGGUGAACACACUUACACAUGGAGCAGUGGGCAGCUAUCACUGCAGCGCCCGGGGAGCAGGGGCACCUCAGUCAUUGCCCGCCAGCCCUGAGGAUCGAACCGGCAACCUUCUGGUCACAAGUCCCACUCUCUAACCAUUAAGCCACGACUGUCCCUUAAAGUGUGUGUAGCAUUGUGUUACCCGGACAGGGAUUAGAUUACGCAUAUGAACUACAGCCAUUUUGUAAAGGCUUUUUAAUAUUUAUGCACUGGAGGAAGUGCCUCGGAUUUCUUGUGAAAUACAAGAAUAGAAACCCUACCAAAGAGCACCUUCUGGGAUUACUUAACAAGUUUACUUCACAAGCAACGCUCCUGGAUGAUUUGAUUAGUUUUUACAUUUAUGCGUCUCAAAAAAACAUUGUUUGUGUGCACCUUGAGACAAAACAAUGGCACUGAUUUAUUUUUGUUUAAACAGUUCUAAUAUUUAUUAUAGUCUAGGACAAGUCUUAUUCCCGGAAACCACCCCUUUGUUUUCUUUAAUCGCUGUGAUAUCUGAGUGUGUUUUAGGGGCAUGUUGUCAUUUGCAGCUGAAACUGAAAGCAACAACAGUAGAAAAGGAACUGUAGGAACUGCUCAACAGCAAAGAAACUAGACUCAGUUUAUAUGAACCUGUGAUAACUGUAUGAACAGUUGUAACAUAUGCACAGUCUAUGUGAGCUGAACUGUGGAUCAGUUUUCUUUGCUUUGAAAGAUGUCGUCAUUUAAUGCAUUUUGUUCCAAUGUACAAGAAUACUUUUCUCACUUAGACACAAACUCUACCAAAACUUUAUGGGGCGGUUUCCCAGACAAGGAUUAGAUUAAGACAGGACUAGGCCUUAGUUAAAUUGGGAUAAUUAAGUUGUUUUAAAAAACAUACUUAAAAAAACUUCAUAUAUUUUAAGAUAUGUUAGUGCAAGUUGUUUUUGAUCUAGGCAUCUCUCACAUUUAAGUUAGUCUGAGACUAGACUUAAGCCCUGUCUGGGAAACCGCCCCUAAAUACUAUAAAAGCCAAUAUGCAAAUGCUUACAUACUCUUUUCAAAACUGUUAAACUUAAGUUCAAAACUUACCACAAUACCAAAAUGAAUAAGACAGAAAUGUGCAACAUUUCUACAGUAAUACUAUAUUGAAAUAUAUCCUGAUUUUAGAAAAUUAAAUACUAUCAAAGCAGUUAGAUUUAACUCGACACUUUUUCACAUUACCAUAAAUCCAAACAAGUCAACGUGUGGGAAUAAUUGUGUACUGUAGUGUAAACACACACCAUGUGCAGUGAAUUGUAAGAGUCUCAUUCCUGUUUUGUAAAGAAACAAUGAAUAAUGUUACUGUUCUUGUCAUGUUUCUUACAGUAGGGUGUUUUAUGACUGGGAAUAUGACUUAUGAAUGUGUGUUUGUUUCAAUUUUAAGGAUUCUUAUUUUUCAAGCUACUAUCACACUUUAUCCAUAGACAACAGCAUGGUGUUUAUUUAUUAAAUAAAGUGUCUUAUUGAGUCCUGUGUGUUCUAUUCUUAAACACGAGAGCACUACUUCUUCCCUUCGAUUUUUCCCCAUGAAAUUUCAAAUACCAAUAUACUUCUUAAUAUUAUAUACUGUAAAUGUCUUCCUGAACUGUUUGUAUCCUAAUAAUUCUGCCAUAUUUUUUGAGAAUAUUCUUUUAUAAUUGUUUUUGCCUCACCUUUACUUAAUAAAACUUUCAUUUCUAUUAUUUGUGACUUAAUGGAUACUUUGGCUAACUUAUCUACUACUUCAUUAUCCUACAUGUGCAGGACCCCUAAUAAAAGAUACCUUCAGAUCCAUAUUAUGUAAUCUCUUUAUAAUUUGAUAUACUUCAUUUAAUACAUCUAUCCUACAUGGUUUCCCUGUUUUAAUACUGGAUAAUGCUGACAUACUGUCUGAUGCAAUGAAAACAUUAUUUUCCUUCUUUUCUUCAAUCCACUUUAAUCCUAUCAUUAUUGCGACCAGUUCUACUGUAUAUACAGAAAGAUGAUCUGCUGUCCUUUUUUUAAUGUUGUAUUUAGGAAUAUAUACUGCAUGUCCUGUAUUCCCAUUCUUUGGAUUUUUUUAACCAUCUGUAAACUCUGUUGUAUAUUUCCUUUCCAUAAAAUGUUUAA